GAUGAACGCUGGCGGCGUGCCUAAUACAUGCAAGUCGAGCGAACAGAUGAGGAGCUUGCUCCUCUGACGUUAGCGGCUGACGGGUGAGUAACACGUGGAUAACCUACCUAUAAGACUGGGAUAACUUCGGGAAACCGGAGCUAAUACCGGAUAAUAUAUUGAACCGCAUGGUUCAAUAGUGAAAGACGGUUUUGCUGUCACUUAUAGAUGGAUCCGCGCCGCAUUAGCUAGUUGGUAAGGUAACGGCUUACCAAGGCGACGAUGCGUAGCCGACCUGAGAGGGUGAUCGGCCACACUGGAACUGAGACACGGUCCAGACUCCUACGGGAGGCAGCAGUAGGGAAUCUUCCGCAAUGGGCGAAAGCCUGACGGAGCAACGCCGCGUGAGUGAUGAAGGUCUUCGGAUCGUAAAACUCUGUUAUUAGGGAAGAACAAAUGUGUAAGUAACUAUGCACGUCUUGACGGUACCUAAUCAGAAAGCCACGGCUAACUACGUG
This 497-nucleotide ribosomal RNA is filed under the name uncultured bacterium. RNAcentral describes it as "partial 16S ribosomal RNA". It matches the Rfam family "Bacterial small subunit ribosomal RNA", at positions 28 to 507 of the family's 1533-position model. The record is from RNAcentral.